CUCCGUGGACAGGGAUCCUUCUAGAUAAGCGUGUUUGUUGUGCCGAGGCCAGAAGGUGACUGUGAUUUCGGAUCUAACCCGAGUAUGUGUUUAAUAAAAACCGGUUGCUUUGCCACCAUAGCACAGGAAGCUUCAGGAAAGCGGCACGAGCAAAAGCCAGCGGCCGUGCCCUCGAGGGCCUCCAUCCGGUCCAGGGACAGUCGGCCCUGGAAAGAGACAGGGCCACUUCCGGUUUGGCUGGCACGGUGGCUCUCCGGUUUCACGACGAGCAAACGCCAAAACAGUGUUGCAGCAGCAGACACAGGUGGAACAUUCGACGGCGGGCUGCUUCUUCGGAAGCCGAAGAGUCUGCGAUGGACGCUCCUUCGUGCGAGGCGCUGGCCUUGUGGCCACAAGGUCUCCAGCGCCGACGCCCUGCCUGGCGCACACAGGAGGGGCCCGGAAAAUGCCAAAUGACAUGUGGAGCUUCGGGGCCAGGGACUGGAUCUGAACCGCAGUUGUGACCUUCGCCACAGCUGUGGCCACGCUGGAUCCUUUAACCCGCUGUUCCAGGACUGGGAUCGAACCAGCGUCCCUGGUGCUGCAGAGAUGCUGCUGAUCCUGUCCUGCCAUGGUGGGAACUCCAAAGCUUGGUUUUAAGCCACAAAAACGAGAAUGUCAUGUCGUGUGACCUUACAAAAUUGCGAUGCAUUUGCAGGCUGGAGAGCAGAGCAGUGAGCACAAAUAGUCCGCACUUCAUGCGGCAACGUGGACGAUGGCUCGGCCAUCAUGUUUAGUGAAAGAAACCAGAAACUAUGAUUCCAUUGUCCAGGGUUCAAAGCCAGGCCAGACGGGUCUAUAUUCGUGGAGGUUGGGGAGCACACGGUAUUGGGAGGACGGGAGUGUGUGUGCACCUGACGUGCCAUGGCUUCACCCGGUGCCGUUACACGGGUGCCCAGUGGGUGCAAACCCACUGGGCUCAGAGUUUGUGCACUUUCUGUACCCGUGUCACCUUCAAUAAAAGCUCAGGCAGGUCCACCUCUACAGGUCCAAGGGCUCCGACAAGAAAACCCAGGCCCAGCAGGCUGACUAUUCCGUGUGGUUAGGGGUUGCUCAGGGAGGAAAGGGCACGAGGUGGGAAAAGGCCAGGCCUGCCCUCUGUCUCCUGGUGAACAUCGGGGGGCUCCCGGCUGACGUCAGAGUCCCCCAGCCCCUCCCCAAGGUCCUCCUGUACCAGCAUGCCGAGCGCCCAGCCCCAGCGACAGGAGAGGAGGAAGUCCCCACGGGUUUCUUUUUCUUGCCACCAAAGGGGCUGCAGGUAUUUGUUCCUGAAACUCACAACGUGCUGGUUUUACACAGAGUGUGAGAUGCUGCAGGGAGAAACGAAACGGAGGAUCUGGGGUCCGAUCGGGCGGCUGGGAGUGAUGCUGGGGGCUGGAGAGAGGGCCCCUCUGCUGGCCUGCAGAGAAGGGGCCACGGAGCUCAGAGUCGCCCUAAUCUGUUUAUACCCUCAGCCUGGGAUGGAGACCUCGUGGCUCUGUGUGGGGCUCUGUCUCCCCAGGCCUGGGGGACGGAUUCCAUCAUCAAAUGAUGCCUAGGGACCCCGGAGUGCACCAUGUGCCAUCUUUGCCUUGUCUUCCUCCAUUAUUUUAAAGCACCGAUCACGUCCCAGUAGCGGGACAUGUCGUGAGGUGUUUGGGCUUUUUCAGGAAAGCAAAACGGCGGGAGCACAUGCUUAUUUCUCCCUAAUUAGCCUCCCUCCCACCGUGAGCUCACGGGGAGGCUGUCCAGGCCUUGAGGACAGGCCCCGCCGGGUCCUUUACAUCCAAUGACACCAUCUAGAAGGAGUUCCUGUCACCAUCACUCGUGGGUGACUUGUACAUCAUCCGUGCCCCCAAGAACAGUCACGAGACAUUUUUAAAGCCUCUGGGAGCAAAGAAACCGACCACACGUACUCCCACCCAGAGAACUCGCCCUUCUCGGGGUGGCAAGAGCAAGUGAGAGGUGAAAGGAGAUAUAGGAAUUUUCUCUGAAACUCUCCUCUGUGCCCUUCGGUCUGGCUGCCUCGUGGGGCACUACGCAGAAACUGCCCACUGUUCUUGAAAUAGAAAGUGUUAUUUCUGAUCUUAUUUUUCCAGAAGGGGGUGGCUCAUGUGCUUGUUUUUUCCCCCCUGGCAGACAGUAGUUAAGCCAGAAAAAGUACUCAGGUCAACAAGAGCGUGUCCGAUGGCCCCACAUAAAGAGAGAUUUUCUGGGGCCCUCGGGGUGCUGGAGCUCAGCCAGCGACCUCUGUGGCUGCAGUCAGAGGUCAUGGAACCCCCGCUGGGCCCGAAAAUGAGCAAAGCAGGAAGGGUGGAGGGGUGGAGUGAAGCGCCCAGUGGACGGGGGACCCAGGGAGGCUGGGAAGCAGGUGUCAGGCAAGGGUUUGAGCCCACACCUGAGAAGAACUUGUGACGUGAGGUCUGAGGGCAUCUGAGUUAGGGAUUCUGGAGAGAGGGAAGGGAUGUGUGGCUUCCUGAAGCAGCAUGGAGGAGAAGAUCAGUGAGAGGAGGAAAUGAAGACGCUGAGCACAAAAUUCAGCUCUGAGCUUCCUGGCAGCCACGGCAAAAAGGGAGUAUGAUAAACUCUUCUGUACGAACAGCCAGGCAGGUCUUCCCUGCGGGUUUGGAAGUGACCUUGAAGGACAGAUGGACUUGGGAGGAGAGAGACAGAGUGAAAGAGAGGGCUUGUGAGCUGGGUGUUCAAACAUUCACUGAAUGAGGAAAGGAAACGGCAGGUCAGCAGCUUGCAUAACCCAGAGGCCCAAGGCUGGGAAACCUCACAGAAAGGCUCUUUUGUUGCUGUCACCGCAGCCCUGGAGGAUGGUGGUGGGCAUGUUGCUUUCCCUGCUCAAGAACACCAACCCCUCCCCCCCAUCCUUCUGUGUGUACUGGUGGUUUGCACUGUUGUCUGGCUCAGCAUCUUUCAUUAGCCCAAGGCCUCUGGACUUUGACCUUUUCAUUCAAGGCUGGGUUAUGUGCCAUUCCUUGGAUGGCUCCUGGCCUCUGAUGAUGGUUUUUUUGGGGGGAUUAGCUACUUUUUUUUUCUUUUUUCUUUUUUUCUUUUCAGGGCCACACCUAAGGCACAUGGAAGUACCCGGGCUAGGGACGGCACUAGAGCUGCAGCUGCUGGCCUACGCCCCAGCUGCAGAAAAGAAGAAUCUGAGCCAUGUCUGUGGCCUACACUGCAGCUCACGGCAAUGCCGGAUCCUUAACCCACUGAGCAAGGCCAGGGAUCGAACCCACAUCUCAUGGAUACGAAUCUGCUUCUUAAUCGGCUGAGUCAGACUGCAACUCCAGGUUUAGCCAUUUAAUAAUGUGAGCUGCUCUUUCACGGGGGGCUGGCUUCCAGGCCUUCCUGCAGGUGGGUGGGUCAGCGUACUUAACUUCAGAAUGGGGGGCAGGAGGGGUGGGGGCCCCUCCUUAAGCCCUGAGCACAUGCAGGGGGACAGCUGUUUGGGGGGAGUUUUAGGACAGAGGAGGAAAGCGAGGGUUUGGUUUGGAGGAGCACCAGGCGUGCUUCCUCCACAGUGAGAAAGAACAAAGCUGAGGAUGCCUCGCAUGGCUUCAAGGCACCGCUCACGCCCCUGCUGACCACGCCCUGGGAGCCAGGCCCCCCGGGUGGCUCAGUGACGCACCUGUGUGAUGCCCGCAGCACUGUCUCUAUGUCGCGUGGAGAGACAUUGAACCUGGAGAGACGCCCUUGUCUGAGGUCCUCUGGGCAAAUCCAGGGCAAAGCCAGGACGGGGCCGGGACUUGGAGAGGCCACGACACGCUCACGAUGGCCCCAGACACAGGCGCUGGCGCUCAGGCCAGGCCUCUCCGCAUCCGGCAUCGUGAAUUCACCCUGUGAAGUCACAGACCCACAACGAACUCCCCAGGGGACAUUCCAGGCUCGUUCCUAACCUUUUGAAAGUGAUGUCGCAGGAUGAAAACACCACCUCUGGUCACAAAAUGUCCCUUGUCAUUGCGAUCGGCGGCCACACAUACCUGGGCCACCAAAGGUCUAAUCCAGCAGGUGCUUUCAGAGGCUCUUUGGAAACGGGCCACUGUCACUGCGCACUCCAUGGACCUUCCUCCCCAGGACAAGCACCACUGACCCCGGCAGGUGAGGCAACGGCGCUCUGGCAGGACCACGUGCCAGCAGCAAAGAAGGGUCUCACUUCUCACGCGCGGCAAGAUCCGCCUCCGGCAUCCCCUGUAUUCAGACAUCUCCCCAGGGGACAGGACUGGACUUGCCUGGGGUCCCAGGACACAGGAACUGCACACCUCGGCUUCACUGAGUCCCUCAACAAACAUUUAAGGGGACCGACUAUGUGCUGGAUAAGUACCUGGGCUACCAAGACAAAAAGACAAACUGAAGUCUGCAGCCCGCCCACAAGCAUCCGGGGGACACUCAGGAGCCAGAGCGGAAAGCUCGCAUCAGGGGCGGACAGGGGAAGCCAAGCAGGUCCUCGCCCCCAGGGCCAGGCUGUGCUGGGAGUUUGAGCGUCGUCCUGCAGGCACUGAGCUUGGGAGAUGCUGGGUGCUUUCCUGGGCGGGGGCGGGGGGGGCAGGGUGAGCCACUGGCGCCCAGCUCUCUGCAGCGGGUGAUACCUGCUCUGUUCCUUCUGCAGACGUCUAAGGAGGGAGGCUGGGAUUUGGAAUGAUGAGCUGACCCAGUGCUCCCUCAUCCUACCGUCUCCAAAGGCAACGGAAACCAAGCACCUGUUCUCAGUGCCCCACGUAGGAGGCGGCACACCCACCCCUGCCCGUUCCAUCCCACACCCCCUUCCUUUAGAAGCUGGAGAAAUUGACAGUGGGGGGCAUAGCACGGGGCUUGACUCAGAAGAGGGAUUAUUGGCUCCGCGGGGACAGUCACGUGUCAACACCUGCUGUCCUGUAGGAACGGUACCCGAGGAAGCUGUUCCCACUUUUUCUCCCUCUUGUAGCUAAUAGCAAUUUCUGCUCUGAGGCUUUGAGUCUCUGCAAGGC
Molecule: long non-coding RNA, 4991 nt
Filed under: Sus scrofa (pig)
Lineage: Eukaryota; Metazoa; Chordata; Mammalia; Artiodactyla; Suidae
Description: lncRNA (ENSSSCG00035051104.1)
Source: RNAcentral